Non-coding RNA from Ciona savignyi (Pacific transparent sea squirt), 118 nucleotides. NCBI's taxonomy places the organism in Eukaryota, Metazoa, Chordata, Ascidiacea, Phlebobranchia, Cionidae. The record is from Rfam.
CGGCCUGAGGUCGGACGAGGCUACCCGCUGAAUUUAAGCAUAUUACUAAGCGGAGGAAAAGAAACUAACGAGGAUUCACCUCAGUAACGGCGAGUGAAGCGGGACGAGCCCAGCGCCG